RNAcentral lists this non-coding RNA (741 nucleotides) under Dryodurgades formosana. Lineage: Eukaryota; Metazoa; Arthropoda; Insecta; Hemiptera; Cicadellidae. The record is from RNAcentral.
UAUUAGUUUGAUUCUGGCUAUUUUGUUAAUUGUAUUGAACAAAUACAUGUAUAAUUUAAUUAAAUUAUUUUUCACUCAGUAUUUAGUAUUUUUUAGUAAAGGUUUUUAUAUAAGGUAUUUAUAAUAGAAUGGAUUAAUGUUGUGCCAGCAUUCGCGGUUAUACAAUUCAUUUAUGUUAAUUUUUUAGGUUUUAAAAUUAAAUAUAUUUUUAGAUAAAAAAAUUUUAAAAUUUAGGUGGAAUUUAUUUUAAAUAAGAUAUUCUUUUACUUAAUUAUUUGUAAACUUUAGUAUUAAACUAGGAUUAGAUACCCUAUUAUUUAUGGCUUAAUAAUUUAACAGAACAUUAGUAGUUAUUUUCUAUUAAACUCAAAGAAUUUGGCGGUGAUUUAUACCUUUUCAGAGGAACCUGACCCUUAAUCGAUAAUCCACGAGAUGUUUUACCUAUUAUUUAUUUGUAUAUCUCUAUGUAAAAGAAUGUUUUAUUAAGAAUAUUUUCUUUUUUUAUAAAAAUUUAUUUUAGGUCAAGGUGCAGUUUUUAAUAAGGUUGGUUUGGGUUACUUUAGUUUUAUUUAUUUAAUUUUUAAAAUUCAUUAGUGUUUUAUUAAAUUAGGAUUUGAUAGUAAUUUUAAUUAAUUUAUUAUAAUGAAUUAAGUUUUAAUUCAUGUACAUAUCGCCCGUCGCUCCUAAUUAUAGGAUAAGUCGUAACAAAGUAAUUUUACCGGAAGGUGAGGUUGGUUGGAG